This is a transfer RNA of 91 nucleotides. It matches the Rfam family "tRNA". Rfam says of the family: Transfer RNA (tRNA) molecules are approximately 80 nucleotides in length. Their secondary structure includes four short double-helical elements and three loops (D, anti-codon, and T loops). Further hydrogen bonds mediate the characteristic L-shaped molecular structure. tRNAs have two regions of fundamental functional importance: the anti-codon, which is responsible for specific mRNA codon recognition, and the 3' end, to which the tRNAs corresponding amino acid is attached (by aminoacyl-tRNA synthetases). tRNAs cope with the degeneracy of the genetic code in two manners: having more than one tRNA (with a specific anti-codon) for a particular amino acid; and 'wobble' base-pairing, i.e. permitting non-standard base-pairing at the 3rd anti-codon position.
GGAGGAAUACUCAAGUGGCUGAAGAGUUCGGUCUUGAAAACCGAUAGGUCGUGAAAGCGGCGCGGGGGUUCGAAUCCCUCUUCCUCCUCCA